CUGAUAUGCGACUCAAACCUUUGAACUCUGGGUGUUGGGUUCAUUAAUAACGUAAGUCACCCAACAGGAAGAAGAAGCAGGAACUGGGCUGGGCUUGGCCCGCCAGGAGUGCCAUCGGCCUGUCCCCCACCCCAGGGCAGAACCCCACCCCUGCUCUGCCCCAGGCACCCUCACCUCUAGCUUGGCCCCUUGCCCAGAGACCCCGCCACUAAACGCGUCCAUCAGAACCCAAAUCUUGCACUUCUUGGGGUUUGCGGGGCUGCGGGUGGGGGGCUGUGCGUAGCAGCCAGAGCUCGGGCCAGGGCAGAGGAUCUGGGUCUGAGCCCUGGCUCCUUCCUCUUGCCUGUGGGACCUUGGCCACCUGCUGGGGCUGGAGAAGGGGGUCCCCGAUGACUGAGUUCAGCGCUCAGGAAGAGUCACUGUACCCCUGGGUUUUCGAGGGGACUCAGACUCACUUAACCAGCCUGAGCAGCCGGCAGGGGGUCGCUCUGCCCUGCGGCCGUGGCUGUUUUCCCAGCCAGUUCAGCCUCUUCGGGCAUUCUCCGACUCCUUGGCGUGCCUCGCAGUGGUGGACCCUGACUCCUGGGCGAGCCCUUCUGCAGGCCCUUGACCCUGAGGGGAGCCUGGCCUCAGCCCGGGGCACUGGGUGCCACAUACCCUGUCAUCACCGGGCACCCGGGGCCUUGGCCUUGGCCUGGCACCUUCCGGGUGUGUCUGCCCAGGGCUCGCCGCAGCAUCAGUGUUCAGGAGACAAGCCACACCGCUUUUGGGGAGUGGGAAGGACUUCUGGGGGCUGUGGGGGGGGAAUAAGGAGGACCCCAGUUCCCAGCCCAGACCCACAGCAGCAAAUUCAAGCCACCGGCCCACCAAGAACCCUGGGCCUCCACACCUCCACCUGCCCUCCUGCCUCCUGGAAGCCCAUGCCUUGCCCUGGAGGCCUCCGGCGUCCAGGGGAGGCUCUCCAGCCACUCUCCGCUCUGCAGAUCAGGGCCACCGAGGCCUAGUGUGGGGUGUCCGCCUCUGGAAGACUAAGAACUCAGAGGGGAAGCACACCCAGAGCCAGGCCGGGACGGGUGCUGCCACCUUGGGCGCCUACUUGCAGCUGGACCUGCUGUGGGGAGGGGAUUCUGUGCAGAAGGCAGAGUAACCUCAGCCUUACCCCGCCCGCCCGAUCCCCUCCCUCACCCACAGCCACCUCUCAUCCUGCCUCAUCUGCCACCGCUGAAACUGGGAAAAAUGGGGUUUAACAACCCUGUUUUGAAGCUUGGGACUUGACGUGGAUUAUUUUUUUUUGGCUGCACCCAGGGCACGCCGAAGUGCCCGGGCCAUGGAUCGAAGCCCUGUCGCAUCAGCGACUCAGGCUGCGACAGGGACAAUACAGGCUCCUUAACCCCCCGAGCCACCAGGAAACUCCUUGAUAUUGAUUUUUAACGCCUGUCCUCCACAUCCGCUGGGCCCCAGGCCCAGGGCCAAGGAAAGACGGUGCAUCCAACGCCCCCCUCAAGGGUUAACUGAGGCCAAAAAGCAGCCACUCUGGUUCUGAAGCGCCCCCAGCCCCAGGCGCUAAUCCCUGGUCCCGUGGUGGCCACGGGAGUGUGGGUGCGGACAAAGCGGUGUUCAUCCAGCCCCGGGUUUGAUGAUCGCAGCACAAGGACCCCAUUCUCUCGGUCCCCAGCUGCAUGCCCUCCCCCCGGGGAGCCCGACAUCCCGGGAGGGCCCCUGAGGGCGGGGGCUCAGCUGCCGGGGCGCCGGGAAUUCACAAGGGGCCUGCGUUGGGGAGCCCGUUCUGCCUGAAUGGUACAGACAGCUGCAAGUCAGCUCCUCACGCCUGCAGUGGGAAGCUGCCUGCGUUUUUACGGCUGAUUUUUGAACGUGAAGGUGGCGGUUCCCAUCCAGCCUGUUAAAACCUCAUCCCGGUUUCCGUCCAAUGUGACCUUCUGGAAUUGGCUUGCAGAUGCUUUUGCCAUAGAUCAGCAGGUCCUCCCGGCGGCAGAGGUGGUGACCUGCCUUGCUGGGCCUUCCUUCCAGGGACUCAGGGAAACCGGCGGGGCUGGCAGAGCCUGCAGAGGGGGGCUCUCCAGGGAGAACGGGCCUGGGGCGGGGGGGUGCUGCAGCCCGAAGCACGCAAGGGCGAGGCCCACCUCUUCCUGCUCUGUCUACAAAAGGGCAAGAAGCUUGUGGGCACAAGUCUGCCGCGUGCAUCCCAGGCUGUCAGGGACCCAAGACCAGCCCAUCCAUGUCCUGGUUUUGCAGAACUUGGGGCAGGUACCGAGCCUUUGGGUGAGAACACAGGAGAGUCGGUGCCUGUCUCAGGGUGCCCGUCUCAACAUGGGCGUGAUCAUCGCGACACGGGUCCCGGUCUGUCCAGAAGCUUGAGGCGGUGCCAAGGACGCCGCCGGGCACUCAGACGCACAUGCUGUCAUCUGGGCCAGAGGGGCAGGCCAAAGGAGUUGUUUAAAGCCUUACCUUCUGGAUGCCAGUCUGGGCCCCCAACCGAGGCUCUGCCCAUCCCCUGGGCUGCAGCUCGCCAGGUGGGGCCCAGGGCCGCCAAGCGGCCAGGCUGGUGUGGGGGUGUGCUCUCCCCUUCCAGUCCUGGCACUUCUUUCUCCCAGGGCCCACGGAGGCUCCCUCACUCCUUCGCUCUCUGAGAAGACCCCCCCCCCUGCAACUUGUUGAAAGGCAAUCCUGGGCCCCAGCUGUGUACUCCAGCAGGACAAUGCAUCUCGCCCAAGCCCGGAGGUCUCAGGCAGCACGUGGCGGGGUGGCCGCUGGGCUGGGACCUCCUCCCAGCCAGGGGGCAGGGCAGGGCAGGGCAGGGCAGAGGAGGGAGGGCCGGGGCAUAAAUUUUGGAGGAGAGGAGAGGAUGGAGGAGGAGGGGCGAGUGCUUCGUGGGGCCUUGCGGCGGCUCAGAGUCCCUGGCGUGACCUUCCCUGCCACGGGGACAAAGGCCGGCAGGGCGGGCGGCGCCUUUAAGGACGUGGCACGGCGGGGUCGGUGCCAGGAGGCGCCGGGCGCGCCCCGGGGGAGACGCGCUGCGGGCGGAGGAGAGCUGGCGCUCUCAGCCCGAGGCCCCAGGGGCGCCCUGCGUGGUCAUUUGCCCUCCUUGCCCCACUCGCUUGGGGUGGGGGCUGGGUGGACAAGGUCCUCGCCUCUGUUCCGGGCUCGGUGGGGGCGGGGAGCUCCGCGCGCGGGAUGCGGGAUGCGGGGGUGGAAUGCAGACCCCCUGGAGGGACCCGGCGGACUCAGACGAGCAGGUCGGACACCGGCUGCCCGGACUGGAGCUGGAGCCGCCGCCGAGCGGUAGGUGCUGCGCCCGCUUCUCCCCACGCGGGUCCUGGGCGCCCGGCUCAGCUCGCCCUGCAGCGCAGUUUCCAAAGGGCUUUUGUUGCUGGCUGGGAUGUAGGACUUGGAUUUUUUUUCCCCACCCUCCUGGGGGAGGCUUUUUGCGUGGAAAAUUCCUGCUAUUAAAAAAUACAAAUGCAAACCAAACAAAAA
Molecule: non-coding RNA, 3495 nt
Organism: Sus scrofa (pig)
Lineage: Eukaryota; Metazoa; Chordata; Mammalia; Artiodactyla; Suidae
Source: RefSeq, a predicted model, not a curated record